CAGUAACCUGAGUAUCAGGCCGUACUUUUUAGGGCACAGGCACGCCUGAUCGUGGGCGAAGGGGAGAAAAGUACGGCCUGACACAAAAGUGGCAUUUUGCCUGGUUGUUCAGUCCAGAAUCUGGACUGGGCGCUGAUUGGCCGAUUAGACAAACGAUUUUUAAAUCUGUCAUUUGAUUGGCUGGUGCUAAUUAGAUUAUACUAUUGUUGUUGAUAUAUUUUAUAACGAUCACAACUACAAUUAUAGCCGGCCCACUAAACGGCUGAAUUUAAAUUAAAACUGCAGUAAAAUUAGAAAAUAAUCGCAAAUUAGCGAUAUAUGUUGCAAAUGUAGCUUAUAUUAAAUCGCCAUAAGAUUGCACUAUCGACUGACGUAUAGUUAUAAAGUAUAC
This is a non-coding RNA of Paramuricea clavata, 391 nucleotides long. NCBI's taxonomy places the organism in Eukaryota, Metazoa, Cnidaria, Anthozoa, Malacalcyonacea, Plexauridae. The record is from the annotation of a GenBank genome assembly.